RNAcentral lists this long non-coding RNA (846 nucleotides) under Astyanax mexicanus (Mexican tetra). RNAcentral describes it as "lncRNA (ENSAMXG00005008600.1)". The record is from RNAcentral. Lineage: Eukaryota; Metazoa; Chordata; Actinopteri; Characiformes; Acestrorhamphidae.
UUUGCAUUAAAGUAAUUUCUGUUUUAUUGUUUUAUAGAAAACGCAGAAAGUGUAAAUCUCACAGCAGUGAUUGUGGUUGGCUGUUGUAUUGUUUUCUUACUGUUUUUGUCUUUGGGACUUUGGGGAAUAAUUCAAGGAGGUUGUUUCACAUGCAGUGAAGGCAGAGCCACUGAACCCACGAUCACAUCAGGAGGGGAAAUUCUGAACCAUGAAAUCUUAUUGGAAAACAGAACGGAUGCAGAAUGGGACGAGUUUUCUGAUGAUGAUCAAAGUGCUCGAGCUUCACAGGAGGAAAUUUAUCAGGUUUGCGAAGACCUUUAGAAAUACAUACAGGAAGUGCUAUUUAUGCUUCAGUUAAGAAGAAAAUUCCAGAACAGAGCUUGUGAUUUUUUUAUACUUUUUCAUUACUAGAAAUGUAAAAAAAAAUCAUGUUAAUAUUUACUCCAUAAAUCUGUUUAAUUCAGUUAUUCCACAAACAAUACUGAUAACCCUACAAAACAUGUAAAAAAGUGGAGUUUGAAACUGUUUGGUUAAUUCAGGAUAAUCAGAGGUUAAUUAAUUUAUUUUUUUAUUGUAUAAAUCUGUAAUUUCCUCAUUAUUUGUCUUGUUAUGACAGAAUUGCCCCCAGCAGAAUUCCACUAAACUCAAUCCUCCAGUUUCACACCGGAAAGACGGAAUAAUCCCACCAUCACUUCUAUUCUAAUUAAAACAUUAAUCGUUUAUUUCUGUUUUAAUUAAAUAUGAUACACAUGUUGUUAAUACAUAAUGAAAUAUGGUUUCAGUUUUAGUAAAAUUUAGAAUGUUUGUUAGAAUAUUAACUAUUUUCAUAUGUUUAAAAUCUUUAAA